AACGAACGCUGGCGGCAGGCUUAACACAUGCAAGUCGAACGCCCCGCAAGGGGAGUGGCAGACGGGUGAGUAACGCGUGGGAAUCUACCUAGUCCUACGGAACAACACAGGGAAACUUGUGCUAAUACCGUAUACGCCCUACGGGGGAAAGAUUUAUCGGAAUUAGAUGAGCCCGCGUAAGAUUAGCUAGUUGGUGGGGU
This 200-nucleotide ribosomal RNA is filed under the name uncultured bacterium. Its description in RNAcentral is "partial 16S ribosomal RNA". It matches the Rfam family "Bacterial small subunit ribosomal RNA", at positions 29 to 258 of the family's 1533-position model. The record is from RNAcentral.